Molecule: ribosomal RNA, 253 nt
Filed under: uncultured bacterium
Lineage: Bacteria
Description: partial 16S ribosomal RNA
Rfam family: Bacterial small subunit ribosomal RNA
Source: RNAcentral
UACGAAGGGGGCUAGCGUUGCUCGGAAUCACUGGGCGUAAAGCGCACGUAGGCGGCUCUUUAAGUCAGAGGUGAAAUCCUGGGGCUCAACCCCAGAACUGCCUUUGAUACUGAGGAGCUUGAGUCCGGGAGAGGUGAGUGGAACUGCGAGUGUAGAGGUGAAAUUCGUAGAUAUUCGCAAGGACACCAGUGGCGAAGGCGGCUCACUGGCCCGGUACUGACGCUGAGGUGCGAAAGCGUGGGGAGCAAACAGG